RNAcentral lists this transfer RNA (74 nucleotides) under Halorubrum distributum. RNAcentral's name for it is "tRNA-Val". It matches the Rfam family "tRNA". Rfam says of the family: Transfer RNA (tRNA) molecules are approximately 80 nucleotides in length. Their secondary structure includes four short double-helical elements and three loops (D, anti-codon, and T loops). The record is from RNAcentral. Lineage: Archaea; Methanobacteriati; Methanobacteriota; Halobacteria; Halobacteriales; Haloferacaceae.
GGAUCGAUAGCUCAGUCUGGGAGCGCACGACGCUGACGACGUCGCGUGCCUCGGUUCGAAUCCGAAUCGAUCUG